Carassius auratus (goldfish) is the source of this 1995-nucleotide long non-coding RNA. RefSeq lists it as uncharacterized. The transcript has 5 exons. Lineage: Eukaryota; Metazoa; Chordata; Actinopteri; Cypriniformes; Cyprinidae. The record is from RefSeq and is a predicted model, not a curated record.
GCAUUUCCUGAUGAGGUCUGACCCAGUUUUUGCCGAUGAAAGACUUUAUUCUGGAUACGACCGCGACGGUGGUCUGAAUAUGGCUGAUGGCCUCAAAUAUCACCCAGAAAGAGAGAGCGAGAACGAGAACGAGAGCGUGACUCCAUGUGAGACAGAGGGGGAGGUGAACGCAAGGAGGACCUGAAAAGGGGCUGUACAAACUAGCCAUCACAUACACACCGAAGCACUUGGGAGUACAGGAAGUAGCAGUUGAGAGGAAAAUCACUGCCUCGUCCUCUGGCAGCAGUGGAAGUUCAUGCAGUGGCCUUUCAUUUUAACUACACAACAAGAGGUUAAGACAUUAAGCCCUGUCUGGAUAAACCAUAUAGUUGCCCGAGGAGCCUCUCUGGACCAGAUCUGAAACAAGCAAAUAAACUAUAUGUCUGCUCUUGAUGUUGGGUUAGAGAUCAUAUCACUUGGCUUAAACCACCCAGAGAGAUUUGAUCAGUAAUACAGGGAUAAAGAAUCAGAACUACAGAACAUAUCUGUUUAAAAUCCAAACAAAUGGACUGAGCACAAUAAAGCUCUGCUUGAAAGUUUAGCAACUACAAUAGCUGCAGUCAGAACAUUUGGACGACCUUUUGGCUAAAUGUGUUUUUUCAUGUGCUAAUGAAACGACAGGAAAGCACCAAGCACUGCCCUUCAUCUUGACAUUGUUCAAACGUUUUGAGACCAAGGGCUACGCGUGCCUUUAAAGAAACACUCUGUCUCGGGGAGAUUGCGAUAAACUCGAGGGACAUGUUUUGGUGACUCAAAAAGAAAGACAAAAAUCUGGAUGUAAGAUCGAAAACAGACGCAAAUAGAACAGAGGAUAGUCUCCCAGCCUUUGCCGCAUUUGCAAAAGAGCACAUCCCACUUGUGAAAUUUUCUUGGCCCUUUUCCAUGGGAACUGAUCCAGGGUGCAUUGAGAAAUACCUCCAGGGAGGUCUUGUUAGAGUUUGAAUAAUAUUGUGUGGAUUGAAAGCAAAAGUACAUUUCUCAGCUCAUCUCUGGGCAGGUAGCGCGUCUACUCUGAAGGAUUUAUGGUGAAGAAAGCAUCCAGCAAAAUGUAGAGCUUUGGUUUGACUUUGAUCCUGCGUUUGAUCCGUGUUUCUUCGUGGAAGUCGGGAAGCAUAAAACAAUCCGGGAUCCCGAAACCAGCUCUUACAAACCAAACGUAGGCCCCAGCUGAGAAAAAGAAAACUUUAUCACACCCAGGCUAGCGUGUCGGCUAAAAGGGGGCUCGCCGAAAGAAGAGAAUCUCUUAGGCAAGGACGGAGUGAAGCAGGCUGGGAUGGAGUGCAAACAUGAGCCUGCUAGAAGAGGGGACAGCUGGGGUGGGCCUAGCACUACAACAUCCUCCACCCUCAACAAGACUGGAGCAAACACGUCCCUGGAGAGGCACAGUACUAACAUUUUAGAGAAAGAUGACCGCUGCGGAGUCAGAGCAAAGCCAGGCUUGACGUCUUGCCAGAUGGAGCGGAAAACAAACGCAGAUGAGCCGUACAGUAAUAGCUCUUCACUUCAUACCCACUGACCAUAAUGCUCAAGCUGUGGGUAAUGUUAUCUGGAAAGAAUGCAUAAUAAGGUUUGCAGAUGACCAGGCACCCAUUGUAAGUGCAGUAGGCGGCAGUUCACACCAGUGACUGUGUGACAGAGGGGUUUUACAACCCUGCUGAUGAGAAUUCAGACCCAUUUGAGGCAGUCUGAAACUGUUUUUGCAGAAUUCAAGAGGUUGUUAUGAUGUUGUUACAGCUUUGGAGUGUGUAAAAUGGCGAGAGGGGAGGAUGUGGAAAGGCUGAGGCGGAACAGCUAAUUCAGUCACUUUAUAUUGGUUUCAUACUGUUCCUAGGAAGAGAUGCUGAAGUAAAUGUCAGCAUUUUCUCUUUUUCUUUCAUUCUCUCUCUCCUUGUAUGGGAUUGAUGUCGCCACACAGUAUCAUGAUUUGAUGAGACGCAGAAUGUUAUGCUUCUCUUU